GUGUCAGCCGCCGCGGUAAUACGAAGGGAACUAGCGUUGUUCGGAAUCACUGGGCGUAAAGCGCGCGUAGGCGGCUUUGCAAGUCAGAGGUGAAAUGCCAAGGCUUAACCUUGGAACUGCCUUUGAAACUGCAUCGCUGGAGUGUCGGAGGGGAUAGCGGAAUUGCUAAUGUAGCGGUGAAAUGCGUAGAUAUUAGCAGGAACACCGGUGGCGAAGGCGGCUAUCUGGACGACAACUGACGCUGAGGCGCGAAAGCGUGGGGAUCAAACAGGAUUAGAUACCCCCGUAGUCC
This 292-nucleotide ribosomal RNA is filed under the name uncultured bacterium. RNAcentral describes it as "partial 16S ribosomal RNA". It matches the Rfam family "Bacterial small subunit ribosomal RNA", at positions 505 to 796 of the family's 1533-position model. The record is from RNAcentral.